Panicum virgatum (switchgrass) is the source of this 2714-nucleotide long non-coding RNA. RefSeq lists it as uncharacterized. Lineage: Eukaryota; Viridiplantae; Streptophyta; Magnoliopsida; Poales; Poaceae. The record is from RefSeq and is a predicted model, not a curated record. The transcript has 8 exons.
ACCCUCCUCCUCGUCAUCCCCACCGCUCGCCGCCACCUCCCCUCCCUCUCUACCUCUCCCCAUCGCCGCCUCCCCUCCCCUUCUCCCUCUCCGCCUACCUCCGCCGCUCCUCCCCGCCGGCCGGUGCCCAGCGCCGCGGCCCCCUUGUUGGGGCGACCUCCCGCCCGACGUGGCCGGUGCCACGGCUCGUGAGGCCGGCCUCAAGCCCCGCGGUCCCCUACCCGGCACGGCUGGCCACCAGCUUCGCGGGCCCUUGGCUGCCACGACCGGCGCAUAGGCUUGACUAUGGCGCCAAUCCGGCAACACUGAUGUGGCACGGAUGAGGAAGAUCUGGAUCUGGCGGACCCUCCAUGUCCGCAGAUCCGAUGCCACUGACAUCAUGGGCAACGCCUGGGACCUCACCACCCUCCCCACGCCCCUGCCGGCGGCGGCCGCGAGAUAUACAUCUACAACAACACGUUCAACCUCGUCCCACUCUCCAUAGGCAGCGCAGGCGGCCUCAGGUUGCUCAAGUUCUUCAGCAACAAUGUCUAGGUGCUCCCCACGGGCGCCAGCGGCGAACUGGAUGUGCUCGAGAGCCUGCAGGUCAUGCUGUUGGCCACCAGUGUUUCAGGGGCGCCACUCCGCCAGAUACGGACGCUCAAGGAGCUCGAGCUCUCAAUGGUGCCGUCCAGCCGUCCUUGUGCUCCAUACUGGCUGAGGUUGCAAGGGUCAAGUGCCUUACCAAGCUGACCCUAUGCCACUUCUCGAUUAGGAACCCUGGUAAAUAAGGUUUUGCAAUCAUAAUAAGCAGAUAGAGCAAGCCUACGAGGACUUGCUGAAUUCGUCAAAGCAGACUCUGGCUAGCAUGACGGAACUGCAGGAGGGCCCGCCAAAAUAAGGUUUUGCAAUCAUAAUAAGCAGAUAGAGCAAGCCAACCAGGACUUGCUGAAUUCGUCAAAGCAGACUCUAGCUAGCAUGAUGGAACUGCAGGAGGUUCGAUUAGUUCCAUAUAUUAUUAUUAUUUCCUUUCAAUGCUAUGGUGCUGAAUUCGUCAAAGCAGACUCUGGCUAGCAUGACGGAACUGCAGGAGGCUUUGCUGGAGAGUAGCCAGGAUGUAAAGGACGCUGAUGAAAUUCCUUCUGCCUCCAAUGGAGAGAAUGAUGAGCGUUCAGAAGUACAGAGAUUGCAGACAAGCAGGGAGGGUCGUGAACAGAAGCAGCAAGAUUUAAAUCUUUUCAGAAAGUUCCGAAUGUUCUUGAAUAGCCCGACACUAGAGUGGUGGAGGCACUAAUGUGGAUGAGGCAUCUUUCUUGCAAUCUAUGCGCUCAUUGAGGGCGACCUUAGGUUUUGCUGCUGUGCGAGCAAACGAGAGAAGAUCAGAAGAAGAUGUGGUAUAAGUUUUGCAGUUGUGUGGCCCUCCUCCGCCUCUCCCCAGCCAUCAUGCCACCCCUUCCUACAGCAGGCGUGAGUCCGCAGCUUUUCGAUGCGGCUGACUGUAGGCAUCGCGAUGGCCUCAAGUGACCUGGGAGGGUAAAGGUUAAAUAGCAGCAUCCGGAUUGAGGCCUUUCAAAGCUCAGCUAGCAGUGCAGAAAAAAGAUGAACCCUUACUGAAUGCGAUUCUUUUUUCCCCCUUAAAUGAGUUUGCAGUUUCUACCUUCUUUUUUCAUUUCUUUUACCCUUCAAGAUGCUCUAUUUCUUACCUUAGUCAGGUUGAUAUGUUUCAGUCAUUUUUAGUUGUUGCCUGCAAGGUAGUUGUCUAAUUCAUAAAUGUAUGAUUAGGCUAUGUUACUUAUAUUGGCUCAUGUUUUAAAAGGCCACAUGUUGAAAUUCUCCAAACUAAACCUAUAGGAUUAUCCCUGCAAAGGUAGGUAACAUGAAACCCUAUUCAAGCAUUUAUGAUUGGGCUACGUUACUUCCAUUUACUUCUAUUAAUUACGCUCACGUCAGAUUGUAAAAGGAAAGCAUAACUGGUUUUUUGGCAGGCUCAAAACCAUACUACUAGCAAAUAGAGCUUUUUGUUCUACAUGGAUUUAAAAUGGAGGGAACGACUAGGAGAGGGAACUCAAAUCAUCAAAAGUUUCUUAUAGAAUCAGAGUAACAAAAGUAGAAAAUUGAUCUCAUGUUGUCAUGAGCUAUGCUAAGACUUCUAUGCUUUGCAGAAUGAAUAUAACACUUACCGUUGAGACUGUCGAUGUGCAUACUAUAGAGGUAAAUAUUGUUAAUUGCUGUAUUUUUUUCUUCCUCGUGCUUGGAAGCUGCAAGUUCCGAUUGGGUGGUACAUGUUUGACUGUUUUAGCUGUGGGUUGUGAUUGCCCCUUUCACUAAAUCUUGAAUGAUUGUGCCUCACGUAUUUAAUUUGUUCUGCAUGUACAUUAGUUAGGUUAGCCUGACAAAGAAGGUUUGUUUAUUUUUGGUGCUCCUUCCCUCUCUAAAUUCCUGCUGCAUAUAUAGUAGUUGGCUACCUAGGCAAGGGGUUUUGCUCAGAAGCUGAAUGUCAAGAUAGGGUUCUCAUAAUUUUUUAGAUAUGCUCUUUGCUGUUUUCUGUAUGCCUCAUCCAAAUGUGAGUACAUAUGUGUGAGGUAGCCAUAGGUGUCCUAGAGGAUUCUUCUGAUCACUAUAAUUUUGGUGUCAACAUAGGAUCUUUUGUAAUGUAUGUCUGUGCCUUAGUCAUCCUGUUUGAUCACAUUUCAGACAAUAGCAGGAAAUUGUUUGUCAAUUUAUUCUUGUCUUAA